ACAGAUCGAAAUGAACAAUGAUAACAAAAGCAACCACAAUAGAGUGAAGGCUGUUGUUUUGUCACUGGGGAGCUGCAUUUAAAUCGACACAGAGGGGGUGUGUGCGGUUUAUGGUGGGAGUUUUUGGCUUUGGUUUUUCAUACUGUGAUGAUUACGAUGACGGAUUUUUAUGCUCUUUUCUUUUCUUAAAGGCAUUGGAUGGAAUUUUUUGCUCCUCAACGCCUUUCUGCUUUCUUUUUUCUCGGGAUAGCUUCCUAUAAUAUCGUGUCUGACACCUUUGGAAGGAAAACACCUAGUCGGUCAAAGGUAGUGAGCAGAGAUUGAGACAUGAAGUCAAUAUCUGCCCUUUCACCCCUCUCUUACUUGACUUUUUGUCAUGCUGACUUAAAUUGAGAAUUAACUGCAGGUUUCCCAGUGAGCUCUGACUGAUCAUGGUGAUAGUGAUGUUUUAAACAUUCUUUCACCUUUCUAUUUGACUGUUUGAGAAAAAAAAAUGUCUUGUAUGUCUUUUUAUUGAUUUCAAUGCAAGAUAACAACUUUCUACAGCUCCAACUAGUUGGCUUCUGCUGAGUUUUGUUUACACACAUUGCUUUCUUUCUGCAUUUAUUUGGCUGAGGUUCUCUCUUCUUCAACGCGUCCGACAGGGAUCAGAAAACCCUCUUAAUAAAAGGUUUCAGCUUUGUAUUUUUGCCCUUUUCUCAUACCUUCUUUCCUCUAUGUCCUACCAUGUGUGAUUUGGUUCCGCGUCAUCACUCUUAAUUCAUAUUGCAGCCAUGAUAUAAUUUCCUUACGCAGUCACAUAAAAGAGUACGUGGCAUUGGAAAUGAGAACGGAAGGAAAAAGUAAUUCUUUCAACUCUAGUUCGUUGAUCCACUUCUUUCUUUCUUUCCCUACUUUUCUUUUCUUUGGGCCCAUGUUGUUUGGUACAGAGCGCAGUGCUGUGUAAUUGUUUCAAUAAUGCCGGAUGGAAUAUGCCCCUACCACUACGUGGACAUAAAAUAGAGACACAACAUUUUGCUCAAUAUCUUUGUUGUGCUCGUUGGUUAUAUGGGGAACUUGAGUUUGCUGUGGCGGAGCGGAUGUUCAACGAUUGACACUGUUUGGUGUCAGUAUACCGAUCGCGUGGAACAGGCGUAGAUUCGGCAGGCAGGUAUCAACUUUAUUGUGGGAUUGACAUGCUGGCAAUGCCUGCAUGGAAGAUGUAGAUGUAGAUGUUCCGCUGUGGUUGUAGGAGAUGUAUACAUAAUACAAAUUGAGGGU
This 1260-nucleotide small RNA is filed under the name Histoplasma capsulatum var. duboisii H88. RNAcentral describes it as "Histoplasma capsulatum H88 hypothetical RNA". The record is from RNAcentral. Lineage: Eukaryota; Fungi; Ascomycota; Eurotiomycetes; Onygenales; Ajellomycetaceae.